RNAcentral lists this ribosomal RNA (464 nucleotides) under uncultured bacterium. RNAcentral's name for it is "partial 16S ribosomal RNA". It matches the Rfam family "Bacterial small subunit ribosomal RNA", at positions 339 to 795 of the family's 1533-position model. The record is from RNAcentral.
CUACGGGAGGCACCAGUGGGGAAUAUUGCACAAUGGGCGCAAGCCUGAUGCAGCCAUGCCGCGUGUAUGAAGAAGGCCUUCGGGUUGUAAAGUACUUUCAGCGGGGAGGAAGGGAGUAAAGUUAAUACCUUUGCUCAUUGACGUUACCCGCAGAAGAAGCACCGGCUAACUCCGUGCCAGCAGCCGCGGUAAUACGGAGUGUGCAAGCGUUAAUCGGAAUUACUGGGCGUAAAGCGCACGCAGGCGGUUUGUUAAGUCAGAUAUGAAAUCCCCGGGCUCAACCUGGGAACUGCAUCUGAUACUGGCAAGCUUGAGUCUCGUAGAGGGGGGUAGAAUUCCAGGUGUAGCGGUGAAAUGCGUAGAGAUCUGGAGGAAUACCGGUGGCGAAGGCGCCCCCCUGGACGAAGACUGACGCUCAGGUGCGAAAGCGUGGGGAGCAAACAGGAUUAGAUACCCCAGUAGUC